Canariomyces notabilis is the source of this 83-nucleotide non-coding RNA. The record is from the annotation of a RefSeq genome assembly. NCBI's taxonomy places the organism in Eukaryota, Fungi, Ascomycota, Sordariomycetes, Sordariales, Chaetomiaceae.
GGCCCGCUGGCCAAAUGGUAAGGCGCCAGAUUUCGGCAGUGAAGCCUCUCUGGAGAUUGUGCGUUCGAGCCGCACGUGGGUCG